RNAcentral lists this ribosomal RNA (464 nucleotides) under uncultured bacterium. RNAcentral describes it as "bacterial SSU rRNA". It matches the Rfam family "Bacterial small subunit ribosomal RNA", at positions 330 to 792 of the family's 1533-position model. The record is from RNAcentral.
UCCAGACUCCUACGGGAGGCAGCAGUGAGGAAUAUUGGUCAAUGGUCGGGAGACUGAACCAGCCAAGCCGCGUGAGGGAGGAAGGUACAGAGUAUCGUAAACCUCUUUUGUCAGGGAACAAAGGCGGGGACGUGUCCCCGGAUGAGUGUACCUGAAGAAAAAGCAUCGGCUAACUCCGUGCCAGCAGCCGCGGUAAUACGUAGGUGGCAAGCGUUAUCCGGAAUGAUUGGGCGUAAAGGGUGCGCAGGCGGCGUGGCAAGUCUGAAGUGAAAGGUACGGGCUCAACCUGUACAGGCUUUGGAAACUGCCACGCUCGAGGACAGGAGAGGGCGGUGGAACUCCAUGUGUAGCGGUAAAAUGCGUAGAUAUAUGGAAGAACACCAGUGGCGAAGGCGGCCGCCUGGACUGUUACUGACGCUCAGGCACGAAAGCGUGGGGAGCAAAUAGGAUUAGAUACCCGGGUA